Non-coding RNA from Bos taurus (domestic cattle), 72 nucleotides. NCBI's taxonomy places the organism in Eukaryota, Metazoa, Chordata, Mammalia, Artiodactyla, Bovidae. The record is from Rfam.
UCCCUGGUGGCUCAGAUGGUAAAGUCUCUGACUGCAAUGCAGAAGACCCAAGUUCGAGCCCUGGGUUGGGAA